This 262-nucleotide ribosomal RNA is filed under the name uncultured bacterium. RNAcentral describes it as "partial 16S ribosomal RNA". It matches the Rfam family "Bacterial small subunit ribosomal RNA", at positions 92 to 354 of the family's 1533-position model. The record is from RNAcentral.
UUAGUGGCGGACGGGUGAGUAACGCGUGGAUAACCUGCCGUAUACCGGGGGAUAACACUUAGAAAUAGGUGCUAAUACCGCAUAAGCGCACGGCUCCGCAUGGGGCAGUGUGAAAAACUCCGGUGGUAUACGAUGGAUCCGCGUCUGAUUAGCUAGUUGGCGGGGUAACGGCCCACCAAGGCAGCGAUCAGUAGCCGGCCUGAGCGGGUGGACGGCCACAUUGGGACUGAGACACGGCCCAAACUCCUACGGGAGGCAGCAG